This is a long non-coding RNA of Monodelphis domestica (gray short-tailed opossum), 1968 nucleotides long. Lineage: Eukaryota; Metazoa; Chordata; Mammalia; Didelphimorphia; Didelphidae. The record is from Ensembl.
CAUGAAUUACUCAAAAGUUUAGACUUCUCAGUUGUGAAUUAAGAAUGGUCUGUCCUUUGGAAAACGUCUACUGGGAUUGGUAGCUGUGAGUACUUAGAGGAGGUUAAAUAGGAGAAAAUUCCCUUUAAAAAUAGAUGAAAAGCUGGCUCCUGGGACAGUCUCAGAAGAGUCUCAGAGGAACUCGCUCUGGAGAUGGCAGCUGGCCAAAGCUGAACUGGUGUCUCUCUGAACACUAGAAUGCUUGCUUGGACAAAUAUUGUGGUGAAUGGAUAAAAGACUGACUGAUCUCUCUCUUAGGGAUGGGGCCUGGGCUGGCCUAUCUUUUUCUCAUUAUUUCCUUUUUCUCUCUCUCCCCCUUUCUUUAAUUCCUCAUUUGUAUUAAUUAAAAUCUCUAUAAAACCCAGCUGACUUGGGUAUAUUUAAUAAUUGGGAAUUUUUCCUGGCGACCAUCUUAUAUUUGAUUUAAAACAAAACACUGUAUACAAAACAUAUUUUCUGGGCUCACAAUUUAAGCCAAAUACUGUUUUAUCUGCAACAAUUUAUGUCUUCCACUAUUUUAAUCAUCACAGUAGGAUGGUUGUUAUUAGCGGUAGUUAUAGAUAGAUAUAAGCAGUUUAGGUAGUAAAUAGAGGUAGUUAUAGGAUCACUCAUAUAGACUUUAGGAAAUUUUCUUUCUCUGUCUCUUUCUUAUGGUUUCUCUUGUUUACUGUAAUCAUUUCACUCUAUUCUUUCACUGUCUAUUUAACUUAAUUAUUCCUUAUUAAAACCUGCUAGAAGUUUUCCUUCCUCUGGCUUACAGGGAUGACAUUAAGUUACUCCUCUACUUUAUUCGCAAUAAAACUUAAAUGAUUACAAGCUGCCAUCUUAUAUUUUCGAAACUCCUCAUUUAACCCUUACAGAGACGAGGCUACAAAAAGCUGGAGGAACUUCAUGGGGGACUCACUGCGGCUACUUUGCUGCCUCCACAGGGAGCCUGGAGUGCCCCCGAUGGCGUUGGAGAGGGACAGAAUCCCAGGCCAGGAGGUGGUGACAUUCCAGGAUGUGGCUGUGGACUUCACUCAGGGGGAGUGGCGCCUCUUGUCCCCUCCCCAGAAGGAGCUGUACAGGGAGGUAAUGCUGGAGAAUGUCCGGAACCUGCUCUCUGUGGGUAAGGAGCCUCUCCCUGCUGCCCGAGUCUGCCAUCCAAGGGAAUGUCGCCCUCAGCAGCAGGUACGGUUAGGAGCAGUUUUCAGACAUGAGGAAGGGACGAGGGCUGGUAAGGCGAGUCCCCAGCCAGGGCCCUCCUGCUGCCUGCUUCUCCUGUAAAAGGACUUUGCAUGGUGUAAUGGGACUUUCUCUGCAGUCCAAGAUCAGAUGCGUGUUGGAGAGUCUCAGACGCAGAAGUAUUCUCAGCGUUGAAUCCAUCUCAUCCCUCCCUGGGCCGGAAUUUGUCUCCCAAACCCCUCUGGGAAAGCUGUUCUGGAGGAUGUUCCUCCCACCUUCUUCCCCUCUAGGGUGGAUCUACUACUGGGGCUCUUUUUCUCUUCAACCAGCAUAAACUCGUAGCCCUCAGCUCCUCGGUGUCCCCAGGAGACAUAAUUUGUCCUUAGUCUUCCUUCCUUUGCCCUCAGGCUCCAGCAGAGCCAGUAAGGAAGGGAGGUAAAGGCCAAAGCAUUUAUAAUGACCUGCUCUUGGCCUGGGACUCUAUCUAGGGUUUUCUCUGUGAUUUUCUGGCUCUUCUUCCUCACUUUCCUCUUCCUCAUUCAGUGCCACAAUUACCCCAUUUUACAGAUGAGAAAAUAGAUUCAAUUCAGUGGCUUGUUCUGAAGCGCCCACAUAGCUGCUUGUGGCGAAACGGAAACUGAGGCCUUCCUGCCUCUGAUUCCCAGCUCCUCAGCCCUCUCCUUCUGACUGCCUCUCAUUUCCUGCUAAUGGAAAACUAAGGACUGAGUCCAGGCUUCUCUGAAAUAAAUCCCCUAAAACCUACCA